RNAcentral lists this small nucleolar RNA (69 nucleotides) under Lepisosteus oculatus (spotted gar). The record is from RNAcentral. Lineage: Eukaryota; Metazoa; Chordata; Actinopteri; Semionotiformes; Lepisosteidae.
UCUGUGGGUGAUGAUCCGAUACCGCCCCAGUCUGACUGAUCGGUGACUGACGGUUCUCUCUGACCCGGC